This 356-nucleotide unclassified non-coding RNA is filed under the name soil metagenome. RNAcentral describes it as "partial contains 5.8S ribosomal RNA, internal transcribed spacer 2, and large subunit ribosomal RNA". The stretch from base 1 to 121 matches the Rfam family "5.8S ribosomal RNA", at positions 35 to 154 of the family's 154-position model. The record is from RNAcentral.
GAUGAAGAACGUAGUGAAAUGCGAUAAGUAAUGCGAAUUGCAGAAUUUCCGUGAAUCAUCGAAUCUUUGAACGCACAUUGCGCCCAUUAGUAUUCUAGUGGGCAUGCCUGUUCGAGCGUCAUUAAGUCCACUUAAGCCCUGCUUAGUGUUGGGAGACUGCUCCAGCGGUGCUACCCUGUAGCUACCCUGCAGCUCCUCAAAGACAGCGGCGGAGUUGUGGUAUCCUCUGAGCUUAGUAACUUGUUCUAGCUUUCGAGUACACCACUUCCCCUGCCGUAAAACCCUUAAUUUUUAAUGGUUGACCUCGGAUCAGGUAGGAAUACCCGCUGAACUUAAGCAUAUCAAUAAGCGGAGGA